RNAcentral lists this ribosomal RNA (1165 nucleotides) under Scaphios yanayacu. Its description in RNAcentral is "SSU rRNA". It matches the Rfam family "Eukaryotic small subunit ribosomal RNA", at positions 111 to 1272 of the family's 1831-position model. Lineage: Eukaryota; Metazoa; Arthropoda; Arachnida; Araneae; Oonopidae. The record is from RNAcentral.
UGUGAUUUAAUAGAUCGUACCUAUCUACUUGGAUAACUGUGGUAAUUCUAGAGCUAAUACAUGCAGCAGAGCUCGACCCCCUCGGGGGAACGAGCGCUUUUAUUAGACCAAGACCAAUCGGACCUCGUGUUGUUUUUUGUGGCGACUCUGUAUAACUUUGGGCUGAUCGCACGGGCUUGUCUCGGCGACGCAUCUUUCAAGUGUCUGCCUUAUCAACUGUCGAUGGUAGGUUAUACGCCUACCAUGGUCGUAACGGGUAACGGGGAAUCAGGGUUCGAUUCCGGAGAGGGAGCCUGAGAAACGGCUACCACAUCCAAGGAAGGCAGCAGGCGCGCAAAUUACCCACUCCCGGCACGGGGAGGUAGUGACGAAAAAUAACAAUACGGGACUCUUAUGAGACCCCGUAAUUGGAAUGAGUACACUCUAAAUCCUUUCACGAGGAUCUAUCGGAGGGCAAGCCUGGUGCCAGCAGCUGCGGUAACUCCAGCUCCGAUAGCGUAUAUUAAAGCUGUUGCGGUUAAAAAGCUCGUAGUUGGAUCUCAGUUCCAGACGGGCGGUCCGCCUAACGGUGGUUACUGCCUGGCCUGAACAACCAGUCGGUUUCCCUAGAUGAUCUUCGCCGGUUGUCUUGGGUGACCGACACGUUUACUUUGAAAAAAUUAGAGUGCUCAAAGCAGGCAUGACGCCUGAAUAAUGGUGCAUGGAAUAAUGGAAUAGGACCUCGGUUCUGUUUUGUUGGUUUUUGGAACACGAGGUAAUGAUUAAGAGGGACAGACGGGGGCAUUCGUAUUGCUACGCUAGAGGUGAAAUUCUUGGACCGUAGCAAGACGAACUACUGCGAAAGCAUUUGCCAAGAAUGUUUUCAUUAAUCAAGAACGAAAGUUAGAGGUUCGAAGGCGAUCAGAUACCGCCCUAGUUCUAACCAUAAACGAUGCCAACCAGCGAUCCGCCUGAGUUCCUCAAAUGACUCGGCGGGCAGCUUCCGGGAAACCAAAGUUUUUGGGUUCCGGGGGAAGUAUGGUUGCAAAGUUCAAACUUAAAGGAAUUGACGGAAGGGCACCACCAGGAGUGGAUCCUGCGGCUAAAUUUGACUCAACACGGGGAAGCUUACCUAGACCGGACACUGGAAGGAUUGACAGAUUAAGAGCUCUUUCUUGAUUCAGUG